RNAcentral lists this long non-coding RNA (1951 nucleotides) under Phoenix dactylifera (date palm). RNAcentral describes it as "long non-coding RNA (PDAC_LNC013263)". Lineage: Eukaryota; Viridiplantae; Streptophyta; Magnoliopsida; Arecales; Arecaceae. The record is from RNAcentral.
GAGAGAGAGAGAGAGAGAGAGAGAGAGAGAGAGAGUCUAAAAUUGAUUUUCAUUUCUUUUUCUGCUAAAUAUAAUUUCUUAAGGAAUAUGUCCCAUAUCAUAAAGAAAGUGAGUAAAUUGCCAUUUUUUUUAUCCCUAAUUUGAAUUAUUUUUUUAGCUCUAUCAUGUGGAUGCUCACAAAACCAUAAAAUGGAUCUAACAAAUUGAUGGAGUUGAGGGAGGUGACAUGUGACGGAAGUCAAGAAAAGAGUACAUUCGAGGUACAAUUAAGCGAGCAAUAUAGUGUUGCCACAUAGGCAAAGACAGGACCUCCCCUUCCCAUAAAAAAAAAAGACAAGAAGAAAAAAAAGCCGUGGUGGUCACCCGAGAGAAAAACCUGCCAGCAUUAAAUCAUGCACACUUUUGAUGCCAUAUAUAAUACUCACAAGAGAUAGGGUUUUUCACAUCUUUUUUGCCUUCAUGUUUGCUUCAACAUAUAUGCAGCUAAUUUUUUUUGAAAAUGGCAGAAUGAUGCUCAAGUAAAUGCCUCCCUGCAAUGUUUUGAACCGACUGCUCUUCUCCUUCAUAGCCCCCCUUGAUUCUCUCCCAUUGCCAGGCCCAUCUCACUGCUUGGGACCUUAUCCUCCUAUUCUCUCCUCUUGCCAAUUAAGCUGCUGCUCUUGCCACAUGGUUGUGGUCUGGUGCCUUAACCUCUUCUUCAACCUCCCUGUCUUCACCAACCCUUCUCUCUAUCCUUCAUGUUGCUAGUUUCAUCUUGCUGUCAGCGAUUGCCCCUCUAGUCCUUCUUUUUCUUGCUUGCACCUGGUGGUGACUGCUUCGGCAAUCGCCACCCCUUCUUCCUUGAUUGGUGUAAGAUAUGGUCCAAAAAAGGUGUCACCCCUCCUUUGUUGCUAGGCUGCUUCCUUCUACUGCUUCUGUAGUCACCAAUCAUGCCUCUUUGCGAAUUCCAUUAAAUGCCAUGUCAGAAAUAUUUCCCUCAUCUGCCUCCUCUGGUGCUGCACCAUCUGCUUUAACUCAAAUAGUCACUUGUAGAGCGUGGAUUUUUAUUUAUUCCAGAAGACUCCUCUGUCCAUUUAUCAGACCUCCACUUUUCUCUAGGAGUGUUGCAUGCUCGUAUUUCGGCUGCUGGCUAUAGGGUUGUCCUUAGACAAGAUCAAAGGGGAAGGGUUGCAGCAAGUUCCUCCACUCAUGCUUGUCGGAUUAUCUCAAGAUGCAAGCAAGGUGACUACAGUGAGGGGCAGGGACUAUAGGGUUGAUGGGUGGUAUGAUAGGGCAGGGACUAUUGGGUUUUUGGGUGGUAUGAUAGGAAAGGGACUAUUGGGUUGUUGGGUGAGUUGAUUUUGGAGGAAGAACGAGAAGAUGAGGGGGCGAUUUGAAGGAGAGAAGAAAGGAGUUGUAGAGUUACAUGGUGGGAAAUAGAAAGGUUUUCUUUCACAUUGAACAUGCAAUCCUUUCCAUCUAGAUUUGAAUCUAAUGGAAGAAGAACUGAUAAAUGUUUGGUCAUGCCCUCUGAAGCAGCCAAGCUUAACUCUGUAUGUAUUCAUGUAUGUAUGUAUCAUAUAAAUGCUCUUUUCACCAUAUCUACUGUAAUUUUACCUAUUUUUUGCAUCCAAAAGUGAACAUAGUAUUAAAAGCUAGAAGAUCAAGCAAUUUUGAAAGACAUUACUAAUGUCAGAAUAUGACAGGCAUGCAAAGUCAUGACAACUGAAUACCAACCAAAUAACUUGCACAAAAUGAAAACAAGGACCAACACUAGAUGAGCAUAGGUUCAUAGUCGUAAUAUCAAAAUAUUAUAGUCAUGAUCAUAGAUUCAUAGGCUGUGACACAUGAUGCAAUAAAUAAUAUUUCAUUGACCGGCCCAAAAUAGGACCAAAACAUAAAUCCAUAGAAAAUUAGAAUCUCCAUCAAUACUUCAAACACAUUUCCAUGGCACCUUCCAUCCUAUUUUUGG